AACAUCUAACGCCUUAAAGUGUAUAAAUUGAUCACGGCCAUUUUUUUGAUAUUCAUAUUUAAAUCGCUUUAAAAUCGCAUCAAAACCAAAUGGUCAAUUGAAGUGCUGCGAUUCGAUUUGAUUCCAUUUCGGAUCGUCGCAGAUGGUCGCGCAUAAACUCGGUUGUUUAUGGGCCUAAGCGGCUUUGGUGUUUUGGUUUUGGUUGUGGCUUUCCUGGCUCGGUAACUUCGUUUGUGCCCCGGUUUUCAGUGCCUCCGCAUCUCCAUCGAAAUACCAGGUCUGCGUGACCAGGUCUUUUCAGCCAUCGGCCAUCGGCAAUGUCUAAUCCAUGGCAAUUAAUUACAUCGUUACACGCGCUGCCGCCAAACAACUUAAUACAACAUAAAUAAUUGUCAAAAUGCUCGGCCACAGACGCGCGAAUUAGUCUUCAUUAUGUCAAUAAAUCUUGGCCAAUUGCCACACCGGAUCAUGCAACAUCCAAACGGGAGUCAAUAUAUCUUAAUGCACCUGUCCCACGCCGAAAUGGAAACUCUAGUUGGGCGAUGUCCAAUUUUCUCAUCAGGUUACUGAAUAUUAAAAAUAAAAGACAUACUAUAUAAGAAGCGGACGCCAAAGUUGGUCUAUGGCCGGCUCAAAAGAUGAUUAUGGUCAUGACAACUUAAUGACGAACGCAGCCUCGGCCUGGGAACCCGAUCCGAUCCGAUCCAAUCCAAUCCGUUGCGAUCCCAAAAGCGAGCCCUCGUCGUCUGGAAACCCCUCAAGUGGCCCGGUGGUGACCGAAAAACGAGACUGGCAAAUUUGCAUAAAAAUCAGUGGUAUAUCCCCUAUACACCCCGCCUCCUUCAGGUGACAUUAACAAGCCACAAAAAAGGAAGCACCAGCCACUGUGAUACGACCAAAUUUUAAUUAAAAGUUUAGUGGAGCGAGAGACACACGCCAACGACAACGACAGCAACACAGCAGCAACAUCAACACCAAAAGCAACCCCAGAGCAACAUUGCACCAUGGGUUAGAACUAUAUUUGCUUUGUUAUUAAUUAAGAACAACUUUUUUAUAAUUUUAAGGAUUAAAUUUUAGAUAUAUUACUCUAUUAUCUUUGAAAAACAUACUUAAGAAGUUCCAUCAAAAAUAAAUCUCUACAUGAAAGUUUAUUUAAAACCUUAUGACUCUGUAUGAAUUUUGAUAAAAUGAUUAAUAUAUACCUAUGUUAAGCUUAAGAUGU
This is an RNA transcript of Drosophila subpulchrella, 1222 nucleotides long. RefSeq lists it as uncharacterized. NCBI's taxonomy places the organism in Eukaryota, Metazoa, Arthropoda, Insecta, Diptera, Drosophilidae. The record is from RefSeq and is a predicted model, not a curated record. The transcript is spliced from 3 exons.